AUCUACAGUCAUACCCCCCUGAACGCUCCUGAUCUUGUCUGAUCUCGGAAGCUAAGCAGGGUUGGGCCUGGUUAGUAUUGGAUGGGAGACCACCUGGGAAUACUGGGUGCUGUAGGCU
Molecule: ribosomal RNA, 118 nt
Organism: Rattus norvegicus (Norway rat)
Lineage: Eukaryota; Metazoa; Chordata; Mammalia; Rodentia; Muridae
Source: Ensembl